UGCUUGCACCUUUCAAGCGAGUGGCGAACGGGUGAGUAACACGUGGAUAACCUGCCUCAAGGCUGGGGAUAACAUUUGGAAACAGAUGCUAAUACCGAAUAAAACUUAGUAUCGCAUGAUACAAAGUUGAAAGGCGCUACGGCGUCACCUAGAGAUGGGUCCGCGGUGCAUUAGUUAGUUGGUGGGGUAAAGGCCUACCAAGACAAUGAUGCAUAGCCGAGUUGAGAGACUGAUCGGCCACAUUGGGACUGAGACACGGCCCAAACUCCUACGGGAGGCUGCAGUAGGGAAUCUUCCACAAUGGGCGAAAGCCUGAUGGAGCAACGCCGCGUGUGUGAUGAAGGCUUUAGGGUCGUAAAGCACUGUUGUAUGGGAAGAAAUGCUAGAAUAGGGAAUGAUUCUAGUUCGACGGUACCAUACCAGAAAGGGACGGCUAAAUACGUGCCAGCAGCCGCGGUAAUACGUAUGUCCCGAGCGUUAUCCGGAUUUAUUGGGCGUAAAGCGAGCGCAGACGGUUGAUUAAGUCUGAUGUGAAAGCCCGGAGCUCAACUCCGGAAUGGCAUUGGAAACUGGUUAACUUGAGUGUUGUAGAGGUAAGUGGAACUCCAUGGGUA
RNAcentral lists this ribosomal RNA (614 nucleotides) under Leuconostoc lactis. Its description in RNAcentral is "bacterial SSU rRNA". It matches the Rfam family "Bacterial small subunit ribosomal RNA", at positions 77 to 677 of the family's 1533-position model. The record is from RNAcentral. Lineage: Bacteria; Bacillati; Bacillota; Bacilli; Lactobacillales; Lactobacillaceae.